CUAAGAAGCCCAGCACGGUCCAGUCAGUGAAUGGAAGCGAUUUAUCUUCAGGCCAGAGUUGGAGCAGAUCAGAAAACGAAGGCCCAGGAAGGGUGUCUUUCCCCAGCUCAUACAUCUAGGCCUAGAAUUUACAGUACUAAUGGUUAACUUGGUGGUCAUUUUGCUAUAUGCCAGUGCAAUGUGAAAUUCUGAAGAACUGAAAUAACAGAGGGGCUUUCUUUCAUUCAUUCGUUCAUUACCAUAAGGUAAGGCAAAAAGUAUUUUACUGGGAUUUUAGAACCUGGGUUCAAAUCCUAGUUUGGCUACUAUCUAUGUGACCUUGGGUAAGCCACCUAAGUCUCAGUUUCCUCACUUGAUAAAUGAGUUGGCCUGGAUGGCCUUUAAGGAAGGUCUCUUUUAACUCUCAAUGAUACCCAAUAAACAGUUACUGAUCCUUUACUGUAUGUGUGUAAAAGCAAGGUGUUAAUCAUCUUUAAACCUGUUUUCAAAAACUGCCAAAUUGACACUAAUUAUGAACAAUAAUCCUUCCCUUACUUGAAAAUGAGUGUGAAGCAGUUACAGAGAAAGCUUACACCCAGAAAUGCUCUCUUCUGUCGUUUAGAAAGGAACAAAAAUUCUCCUGUUCCAGGAUAAAACUAUGUUCAAAAUGAAAACUCUCUCUUGUUUAGCGUCCCCUUGACUGAGACUUCUCGGAAGGAUGCUGGAAUUUGUGAGUUUGGAGAUAACCAAGCUAGACAACACUCUCAAUAUAGAAAUAAGAAAUAAAAAGAGGAUGAGCUCAAACAAAUCACAUCUGGUCAAUGAAUUUAAACAAACAGAGCAACAAGACACUAGACAGUCUAAACCUUCAACCAACAGAAUGAAGGUAGGGAACUGUCAUCCCUUCACUUUUUGACUUUAUAUCGCCUGCUCUCUGACACUCCCUUGUUAAAAUGAGCCAGGACAAAGCCUAAACUUGAAUUUAUUGUGAUCCAUUCUAGGGGAAAACCAGUAGAAGUAAAAUAUACUCUGAUGAAGUACAGACUGCUAAGUUUUAAAGGCUACAGAAUCAAUAACACCUACCAAUUCACAGGCAACAUAAAUAAAACCCUAAAAAACGGAACUCAAGACUACCCCAAUUAGAAUGCUGAAACUUAAUAAGCUUUAAAAAAAAAUACAAAACAAAAUCUAAUUUAGUCCUUUGCAUGAUUAGUUCAAAUUGGUGAUUCACAUCACAAAACCUCUCUAAAUGUAGAAGGAUUAAUAAGGGCAGAGAAAUGAGGAAGGACACACCAGAGUAAAAAGAUCGUUUUAAUAAAGCAUGGAAAGCAGCUGAUUUCACAGAUCAUUAGAAAUCCCCAUUUAAAAAAAAAUAAAAUCAGCACAGAGUAGGUACAGGUUCUCACACUGCAGUUAUCUAUUUGUAGCCUGGAGUGUUUGGGGUCAUUAACAAGAACAUUAUGUUACUGUGAAACCAAAUAAAGAUGAUGUAUAACAAUUCCUGCUGGGAUA
Non-coding RNA from Phascolarctos cinereus (koala), 1491 nucleotides. Lineage: Eukaryota; Metazoa; Chordata; Mammalia; Diprotodontia; Phascolarctidae. The record is from RefSeq and is a predicted model, not a curated record.